GCGAGAACAAUCUUUCGCAUUGUCAAAGAUUAGGGUUUGCGUGACAUCAAUCUUCAUUUUACGAUCCAUUUAUCUGAAACUCAAACUUGAUACAUCAGCAUCACUUUCAAUCCAAAAAAUGACGAAGAGAACCAAGAAGGCAGGCAUUGUUGGAAAGUAUGGUACUCGAUACGGUGCUAGUCUGCGAAAGCAGAUUAAGAAGAUGGAAGUUAGUCAACAUAGCAAGUUUUUCUGCGAAUUUUGUGGAAAGUAUGCUGUGAAAAGGAAGGCGGUAGGAAUAUGGGGAUGCAAGGAUUGUGGGAAAGUGAAAGCAGGGGGUGCCUACACUUUGAAUACUGCAAGUGCUGUGACUGUGAGGAGCACCAUCCGAAGAUUGAGGGAACAAACCGAGAGUUAGCUUUUUGGUUGCUGUAACUCUCGAGAUUUUGGUCAAUUCUUUUCCCGGAUAGGAGUUGAGCAUAUUCUUCGUUACCUUAAAGGUCGACGAGUGCCUUAUAUGGCCAAACAAGAAAGUUGGCCCAUGAGGAAGAGAGUCCAAGAAUGAGCUUUGGAGGCCAGGAUCACUUGGAUGAAGGCAAAAGAUCAAUAAAAAUCAAUCACCACUACUACAAAAUAUACCUUUCGUAACACCAUAUUACUACAGCUGUUUAAGCAAUCGUAGUAAUAACUCAUCUUAACGCGCCUGAAUUUAUUUUUAUUUUAUUAAAAGAUAUUUCAUCACGAUUCAUAAUAACGAUUGUGGUGAUGAAUGAAAGGUUACAUGCUUCGAAUUCCAACACCAAUAAUUUUUUUUCUUUUUUUUUUACAAAAAAGGCUUGUCCAUAUUUUUUUAUAAAUAUAUUAGGCAAAAUACUCUUUUUAGUCCCGUAAGUUAACUUCGGGGUUCAUUUUGGUCCCUUAACUUCAAAAAGUUUCAAAUUGGUCCCUUAACUCUUCAAAAGGUUUCAUUUUAAUCUUUUUUGUCAUAUUAGUGACGGAAAAACUCAAAAAUCGGUCGCUAAAUCCGCCGCUAAUAUGCCAAAAAGGACUAAAAUGACACAUUUUGAAGAUUUAAGGGACCAAUAUGAAACUUUUUGAAGUUAAGAGACCAAAAUGAGCAUUGAGGUUAACAUACGGGACCAAAAAGGGUAUUUUGCCAAUAUAUAAAAAUUAAAAUGCCUAUCACAACAGUUACUAACAGAAACUGUUGUGAAUAAUACUUACAUUUUAUCAUGGUGUUUCUUAUCAAUCGUGGUGAUAAGUUAUAUUUAUAUGGUGUUGCGAGGAGUAAAGAAAAAGAAGCAAUCCACAUAUUUUAUAAUAAACUCAUAUAUUUGCCACCUCUGUUGGAAUAUACAACAGUGGUGAAAUGUUAAUAUUAUGCACGCUUUAACUAAAUUGUUGCUGUUGAGUUUCAAAUCCAUGAAAAAUAUAUAUAUAUAUAUAUAUAUAUAUAUAUAUAUAUAUAUAUAUAUAUAUAUAUAUAUAUAUA
Vicia villosa (hairy vetch) is the source of this 1471-nucleotide RNA transcript. It is a transcript of the gene named large ribosomal subunit protein eL43, with no coding region annotated. The record is from RefSeq and is a predicted model, not a curated record. Lineage: Eukaryota; Viridiplantae; Streptophyta; Magnoliopsida; Fabales; Fabaceae. The transcript has 6 exons.